CAUAUGUUUGUUUGCUGGUGUUCAAUGGAACCUGAGGGAGGGCAUAAUGGAUCUCCGUUACUAAACCAUGUGGAAGGCUUCCAGAGAUUUAAUAGUCUACCUCGAGCUGUCUACGGAGGGAAGACAUUUCCCAUAAUUGUUAAUCUUCCAACAGCAAGUGUGGAAGUCCUAGACUUUCAACAAAGGAAACCAUUGCUAUAGGACUACAUCCCUUAUAAAAGGGCAUGUCUUCCAUCCACUCUGGUAUAUAUCCAACCCAAAGGACUUCCUUCUUGGAUUCUGGUGUUUGUUCUCUGUCCCCACUGUGCCCAUGGAAGUGUCUCACUUUGGUCUCCAUCAUCAUGUCUGCUGUGCAUUCUCUGGACUUAGAGAAGGGAGAAAGAGCGGCAGAGUAUCAGAGGUAAAGAGAAUGCAAGGGAAUCAAAACACCUGGACUUAGGCUUCA
Molecule: long non-coding RNA, 445 nt
Filed under: Vulpes vulpes (red fox)
Lineage: Eukaryota; Metazoa; Chordata; Mammalia; Carnivora; Canidae
Description: lncRNA (ENSVVUG00000027627.1)
Source: RNAcentral